RNAcentral lists this ribosomal RNA (406 nucleotides) under uncultured bacterium. RNAcentral's name for it is "partial 16S ribosomal RNA". It matches the Rfam family "Bacterial small subunit ribosomal RNA", at positions 30 to 526 of the family's 1533-position model. The record is from RNAcentral.
AUUGAACGCUGGCGGCAGGCCUAACACAUGCAAGUCGAGCGAGCGGCGGACGGGUGAGUAAUGUAUGGGGAUCUGCCUGAUGGCGGGGGAUAACUACUGGAAACGGUAGCUAAUACCGCAUACCAUCAGAUGAACCCAUAGGGGAUUAGCUAGUAGGUGAGGUAACGGCUUACCUAGGCGACGAUCCCUAGCUGGUCUGAGAGGAUGAUCAGCCACACUGGAACGGAGACACGGCCCAGACUCCUACGGGAGGCAGCAGUGGGGAAUAUUGCACAAUGGGCGCAAGCCUGAUGGAGCCAUGCCGCGUGGAUGAAGAAGGCUGUCGGGUUGUAAAGUACUUUCAGUCGGGAGGCGUUACCGACAGAAGAAGCACCGGCUAACUCCGUGCCAGCAGCCGCGGUAAUAC